GGUGAGUGUGAUUAGCCGUUACCAGCCGUUUGAAAAUGUGCAGCUUCUGACAUCACAGGUGGGCGUGUCCACCUAGAUGUGUGCAGGAUAGAUCAGUCCACUAGCCUACCCAGUGGACUGUAGCAAACGUUGCUCAUCAAUCCGUCAUACAUCUAAAUUUGUUCAGACGUUCAGACUUUUACCGUUCAAAUCUGUACUUGUUUGUACAUAAAACUCUUUCAAAUAUUCAUAUGCACCACUGGCUUCAGCGGUAGCUCCGUUGUCAUUAUUGUUUUAAGAGGCCAUGCUGGCAUGCCUGUUGCAGUUAAUCCACAGGAGCCGGUAAACAGUGCGUGAGCGUCGUUCAACGUUCACAAAAUAUAUGAGAGCGUUCAAUGAACGCCGCUCUUAUAGCGCGUUCAUGCACCCCACUGGCUGGCAACAUGAGGUCUCUGGUUCAGGUGGAGGAGUUGGGUUAGAGGAUAGACUGGACCAGGUUUUGUUUGUUAUGUAAGGCUAACUUUAUCUACUCUAUAACCGUCCAGGUGGAGCUGCUGGAGAAAGAACACCUGGUCCCUCAUCCACACCUCUCCUCUCUCUGGAGCCUGUACGUUCAACCCAUUAUUUGUGGUCUCUGUGUCAUUAAUAAUAAACUGUUAUUUCGUCUUUGUUAUUAUUAUUAUUUUUAAAUUUUGCAGUUACACCGUUGUACUAAUUAAUUGUAGGUCUUAGUCAAAUUAUAUGAAGUGUAUUUGUACAGUGCUAUCUUUUAUGUAGUAGAAUGACAAAGGACUUAAUGCAGUGGUAACAGUAUGGAUGAACUGUGUGUUUGAACACAGCCUGCAGGUCUAGAGACAUCCAUCCCUCCAGCUCCCUCCAGUGAAACACAGCCUGCAGGUCUAGAGACAUCCAUCCCACCAGCUCCCUCCAGUGAAACACAGCCUGCAGGUCUAGAGACAUCCAUCCCUCCAGCUCCCUCCAGUGAAACACAGCCUGCAGGUCUAGAGACAUCCAUCCCUCCAGCUCCCUCCAGCGAAACACAGCCUGCAGGUCUAGAGACAUCCAUCCCUCCAGCUCCCUCCAGUGAAAAACAGCCUGCAGGUCUAGAGACAUCCAUCCCUCCAGCUCCCUCCAGUGAAACACAGCCUGCAGGUCUAGAGACAUCCAUCCCUCCAGCUCCCUCCAGUGGAACACAGCCUGCAGGUCUAGAGACAUCCAUCCCUCCAGCUCCCUCCAGUGAAACACAGCCUGCAGGUCUAGAGACAUCCAUCCCUCCAGCUCCCUCCACUGAAACACAGCCUGCUGAAGAAACUACACCACUAAUGUCCAGUGAAUCUCCUGCACCAACCGGGGACCAACAAGAACACACUUCAAGAACAAGUACCCCUGAUGUAACUAUGGAUGGUCAUGAUGAUGACCAGAGUCUGGAUGCCCUCGCCUACCGGUCUGGUACUGGACAGCUAGACAUUGAGAUGGGUCCAGUCCAAAAGCUGCCCAAAGAACGUAACAGGAUUCUUUAA
RNAcentral lists this long non-coding RNA (1499 nucleotides) under Gadus morhua (Atlantic cod). Its description in RNAcentral is "lncRNA (ENSGMOG00000030472.1)". Lineage: Eukaryota; Metazoa; Chordata; Actinopteri; Gadiformes; Gadidae. The record is from RNAcentral.